RNAcentral lists this ribosomal RNA (544 nucleotides) under Stutzerimonas stutzeri. Its description in RNAcentral is "bacterial SSU rRNA". It matches the Rfam family "Bacterial small subunit ribosomal RNA", at positions 157 to 696 of the family's 1533-position model. The record is from RNAcentral. Lineage: Bacteria; Pseudomonadati; Pseudomonadota; Gammaproteobacteria; Pseudomonadales; Pseudomonadaceae.
GGAACGCUAAUACCGCAUACGUCCUACGGGAGAAAGUGGGGGAUCUUCGGACCUCACGCUAUCAGAUGAGCCUAGGUCGGAUUAGCUAGUUGGUGAGGUAAAGGCUCACCAAGGCGACGAUCCGUAACUGGUCUGAGAGGAUGAUCAGUCACACUGGAACUGAGACACGGUCCAGACUCCUACGGGAGGCAGCAGUGGGGAAUAUUGGACAAUGGGCGAAAGCCUGAUCCAGCCAUGCCGCGUGUGUGAAGAAGGUCUUCGGAUUGUAAAGCACUUUAAGUUGGGAGGAAGGGCAGUAAGUUAAUACCUUGCUGUUUUGACGUUACCAACAGAAUAAGCACCGGCUAACUUCGUGCCAGCAGCCGCGGUAAUACGAAGGGUGCAAGCGUUAAUCGGAAUUACUGGGCGUAAAGCGCGCGUAGGUGGUUCGUUAAGUUGGAUGUGAAAGCCCCGGGCUCAACCUGGGAACUGCAUCCAAAACUGGCGAGCUAGAGUAUGGCAGAGGGUGGUGGAAUUUCCUGUGUAGCGGUGAAAUGCGUAGAUA